RNAcentral lists this non-coding RNA (101 nucleotides) under Neomoorella thermoacetica. Its description in RNAcentral is "Moorella thermoacetica Guanine sequence". It matches the Rfam family "Purine riboswitch aptamer". From Rfam's summary of the family: Riboswitches are metabolite binding domains within certain messenger RNAs that serve as precision sensors for their corresponding targets. Allosteric rearrangement of mRNA structure is mediated by ligand binding, and this results in modulation of gene expression. A class of riboswitches that selectively recognises guanine and becomes saturated at concentrations as low as 5 nM. Lineage: Bacteria; Bacillati; Bacillota; Clostridia; Neomoorellales; Neomoorellaceae. The record is from RNAcentral.
GACGAAUAUUACUAUUAGACUCGUAUAACCCCGGCGAUGGGGCCGGGGGUCUCUACCAGGUGACCGGAAUCACCUCGGCUACGAGGGUGAGCGGCAGCUGG